GAUGAACGCUGGCGGCGUGCCUAAUACAUGCAAGUCGAGCGAACGGACGAGAAGCUUGCUUCUCUGAUGUUAGCGGCGGACGGGUGAGUAAAACGUGGAUAACCUACCUAUAAGACUGGGAUAACUUCGGGAAACCGUAGCUAAUACCGGAUAAUAUUUUGAACCGCAUGGUUCAAAAGUGAAAGACGGUCUUGCUGUCACUUAUAGAUGGAUCCGCGCUGCAUUAGCUAGUUGGUAAGGUAACGGCUUACCAAGGCAACGAUGCAUAGCCGACCUGAGAGGGUGAUCGGCCACACUGGAACUGAGACACGGUCCAGACUCCGACGGGAGGCAGCAGUAGGGAAUCUUCCGCAAUGGGCGAAAGCCUGACGGAGCAACGCCGCGUGAGUGAUGAAGGUCUUCGGAUCGUAAAACUCUGUUAUUAGGGAAGAACAUAUGUGUAAGUAACUGUGCACAUCUUGACGGUACCUAAUCAGAAAGCCACGGCUAACUACGUG
This 497-nucleotide ribosomal RNA is filed under the name uncultured bacterium. RNAcentral's name for it is "partial 16S ribosomal RNA". It matches the Rfam family "Bacterial small subunit ribosomal RNA", at positions 28 to 507 of the family's 1533-position model. The record is from RNAcentral.